This 317-nucleotide ribosomal RNA is filed under the name uncultured soil bacterium. RNAcentral describes it as "bacterial SSU rRNA". It matches the Rfam family "Bacterial small subunit ribosomal RNA", at positions 26 to 346 of the family's 1533-position model. The record is from RNAcentral.
AGGACGAACGCUGGCGGCGUGCUUAACACAUGCAAGUCGAGCGGUAAGGCCUUUCGGGGUACACGAGCGGCGAACGGGUGAGUAACACGUGGGUGAUCUGCCCUGCACUUCGGGAUAAGCCUGGGAAACUGGGUCUAAUACCGGAUAUGACCUCCUAUCGCAUGGUGGGUGGUGGAAAGAUUUAUCGGUGCAGGAUGGGCCCGCGGCCUAUCAGCUUGUUGGUGGGGUAAUGGCCUACCAAGGCGACGACGGGUAGCCGACCUGAGAGGGUGACCGGCCACACUGGGACUGAGACACGGCCCAGACUCCGUACGGGA